GGAUCCAGCUCCACUGAUUUUCAGCAGUGACGGAUGGCAAAGACAGGAAGGAGCUUUCCCUGUUCCAUGUACACAGACAUACAGUUUCUUCUGAAGACAUGAGUAUGGAGAGAAGACAACAGGAUACCUUUAAUUUCUGUUUGAUCAGCUGUUUAGUCAUCACAGACUGGAGUUGACAUUCAAUGGAUGGUGGAAACUGGGGAGGAAAAAAUACUUGAAAGCAUGAAGAACUAACAUCAUUUAUGGCAAAGGAAAUAGUCAUAUGUGUCAUGUCCUUCUGAACAAAACGGAGUUGCGACAGAUCUCCAGAGACUCUCUGUGUCCACUGCAUCCUCUGUGACAAGGACUGGGGCUGAGCUUCUUCCUGCUGUUGUUCUGACAUGGUUUUCCCAGGCUUUUUCAUCUGUGGUCAGAUAACUCUCAAUAAGGAAUAUAACAUUUCAAUUUGUGCCUAAUAACGAAGGGUCAAAUAUAAUUUCAUAUUUUUUCCUUUGUUUUUUUUCUGCCCACUUCUUUAGAAAUUUACAAUAGCAAGUUGCAUCUUUACACCUUUUUCUUGAAAAAACAAACAAUGGACAACAGGAGAAUUAGUAAGAUGAGCUUUUACAAACAUGCAGUGAAUCUGAGGAAGUAGAAAUAGAAGUAAUUUCUAAUCCAGCAGCUAGAAACGCCAUGUGGCAGAAUGUCUGGAGAAAAGAGGGAGGUGGGUGCCUGAGACCCAAGAGUGAGGAUGUUAUUAAGAAUCAUGGUGCAUCCAAACAUGCUCCAGGCAAGAAAUACAUGCAUUUUGCUUUAAAAGUCUCAAGUGCCAUGCUGAGAAUUCUCACCAGUCAGCCCCUUUUGAUCCCACAGAGCACACACAGCUUGGCCACAGGGUACCCAGUGAUUUUGAAUGUUUUGUUGUCAUCUCCAAGAAAUGUGAUCCCGGAAGUCUUCAGGCUUCAGGUCACAUUUAUAGCAAGGCUCAUGAAAAGUACCAGUGAGGUCCACCAGAAUGAACCUACCAUAUUCUAUAACAUCCUAUCUUAAGAUGAGAAUUAAAAGACUGUGCUGGUGGGAAUGGGAUUUUUGACUGGCAGAGGAACUGUUAGUGCUAUCUGUCUUACCAGACCUGCAAAAUAAAAUGUCAGAAAAUCCAGGAACCUGUAUCCUAAAUGACUCUGCAAGUGCCAGAUUGGUUCCCUACUGGGUGUUAAGUGAGCAAGGAAAUCCACAUCAAGGUCAUACCAAAUGGGAGCUGAAGAACUGAGUAGUGCCGUGCUGACAUGGCCCUUACCCUGUGUGGCUGUAGGCAUUUGACACCUGCUUCUAAAGGGCUUGUUGCAAGUACAUUCACAGAUCACCUUUCUGGGUGAUUACUUUGUCAUAG
This 1369-nucleotide long non-coding RNA is filed under the name Gallus gallus (chicken). RNAcentral's name for it is "lncRNA (ENSGALG00010025991.1)". Lineage: Eukaryota; Metazoa; Chordata; Aves; Galliformes; Phasianidae. The record is from RNAcentral.